This 253-nucleotide ribosomal RNA is filed under the name uncultured bacterium. RNAcentral's name for it is "partial 16S ribosomal RNA". It matches the Rfam family "Bacterial small subunit ribosomal RNA", at positions 524 to 776 of the family's 1533-position model. The record is from RNAcentral.
UACGUAGGGUGCGAGCGUUGUCCGGAAUUAUUGGGCGUAAAGAGCUCGUAGGCGGUCUGUCGCGUCUGCUGUAAAAACUCGGGGCUUAACCCCGGGCCUGCAGUGGGUACGGGCAGACUAGAGUUCGGCAGGGGAGACUGGAAUUCCUGGUGUAGCGGUGAAAUGCGCAGAUAUCAGGAGGAACACCGGUGGCGAAGGCGGGUCUCUGGGCCGAUACUGACGCUGAGGAGCGAAAGCGUGGGGAGCGAACAGG